AACGAACGCUGGCGGCAUGCCUAACACAUGCAAGUCGAACGAGAUCUUCGGGUCUAGUGGCGCACGGGUGCGUAACGCGUGGGAAUCUGCCCUUUGGUUCGGAAUAACAGUUGGAAACGACUGCUAAUACCGGAUGAUGACGAAAGUCCAAAGAUUUAUCGCCAGGGGAUGAGCCCGCGUAGGAUUAGCUAGUUGGUGUGGUAAAGGCGCACCAAGGCGACGAUCCUUAGCUGGUCUGAGCGGAUGAUCAGCCACACUGGGACUGAGACACGGCCCAGACUCCUACGGGGCGCCGCAGUGGGGAAUAUUGGACAAUGGGCGAAAGCCUGAUCCAUCAAUGCCGCGUGAGUGAUGAAGGCCUUAGGGUUGUAAAGCUCUUUUACCCGGGAUGAUAAUGACAGUACCGGGAGAAUAAGCUCCGGCUAACUACGUGCCCGCCGCCGCAGUAA
RNAcentral lists this ribosomal RNA (449 nucleotides) under uncultured bacterium. RNAcentral's name for it is "partial 16S ribosomal RNA". It matches the Rfam family "Bacterial small subunit ribosomal RNA", at positions 29 to 523 of the family's 1533-position model. The record is from RNAcentral.